This 909-nucleotide ribosomal RNA is filed under the name marine metagenome. RNAcentral's name for it is "bacterial SSU rRNA". It matches the Rfam family "Archaeal small subunit ribosomal RNA", at positions 193 to 1104 of the family's 1478-position model. The record is from RNAcentral.
GCUCCGGCGGCAUAGGAUGGGCCUGCGGCGUAUCAGGUUGUAGGGGGUGUAAUGGACCCCCUAGCCAUCGACGCGUACGGGUGUUGGGAGACAUAGCCCGGAGACGGAUUCUGAGACACGAAUCCGGACCCUACGGGGUGCAGCAGGCGCGAAAACUUCACACUGCAGGAAACUGUGAUGAGGGAACUCCAAGUGGAUGCACAUAGUGUAUCUCUUUUCUUUACUAUUAAUCGGUAUUGGAAUAAGGGCUGGGAAAGACCGGUGCCAGCCGCCGCGGUAAUACCGGCAGCUCGAGUGGUCGUCGCUUUUAUUGGGCCUAAAACGUCCGUAGCCGGUUUGGUAAAUCUGUGGGUAAAUCAACUAGCUUAACUAGUUGAAUUCUGCAGAGACUGCCAGACUAGGAACCGGGAGAGGUGUGGGGUACUCAAGGGGUAGGGGUAAAAUCCUGUCAUCCUGAGCGGACCACCUGUUGCGAAGGCGCCACACUAGAACGGAUCCGACGGUCAGGGACGAAGCCUAGGGGCACGAACCGGAUUAGAUACCCGGGUAGUCCUAGGUGUAAACGCUGUGGACUUGAUGUUGGGAGUGCUCCGAGCACCCUCAGUGUCGAAGCGAAGGUGAUAAGUCCACUGCCUGGGGAGUACGGUCGCAAGGCUGAAACUUAAAGGAAUUGGCGGGGGAGCACUGCAACGCGAGGAGCGUGCGGUUUAAUUGGAUUCAACGCCGGAAAACUCACCAUGGCCGACUGUUAGAUGAAGAUCAGCGUAAUGAGCUUAUCGGAUUUUCAGAGAGGUGGUGCAUGGCCGUCGUCAGUUCGUACUGUAAAGCGUUCUGUUAAGUCAGAUAACGAACGAGACCCUCAUCUCUAUUUGCUACCCUUCUCUCCGGAGGAGGCGCACUAUAGGGAGA